GACGUAGGUGGCGAACGUUGUCCGGAAUGAUUGGGCGUAAAGCGUCCGCAGGUGGCUAUGUAAGUCUGCUGUUAAAGAGUCUAGCUCAACUAGAUACAAGCAGUGGAAACUACAAGGCUAGAGUACGUUCGGGGCAGAGGGAAUUCCUGGUGUAGCGGUGAAAUGCGUAGAGAUCAGGAAGAACACCGGUGGCGAAGGCGCUCUGCUAGGCCGUAACUGACACUGAGGGACGAAAGCUAGGGGAGCGAAUGGG
This 253-nucleotide ribosomal RNA is filed under the name uncultured bacterium. Its description in RNAcentral is "partial 16S ribosomal RNA". It matches the Rfam family "Bacterial small subunit ribosomal RNA", at positions 524 to 776 of the family's 1533-position model. The record is from RNAcentral.